This 328-nucleotide long non-coding RNA is filed under the name Lathyrus oleraceus (garden pea). Its description in RNAcentral is "Pisum sativum (pea) long non-coding RNA (PSAT_LNC011246)". The record is from RNAcentral. Lineage: Eukaryota; Viridiplantae; Streptophyta; Magnoliopsida; Fabales; Fabaceae.
AGCCUUUCUAGCCAUCCCGAAUAAUUAUAUCCCUCGUUAACCCCCUUUGAGCCUAUAUCCAUUUUUUUGUUUAAACACCAUAAAUGUAACCAUUAUCCAAAACACUUCUUCACCCUGUUCAGAGUCAUGAUAAUGCAUUCAAAGCUGUGUUGAAAAGCUAAGUUUGGGGUAAAAACCCCAAAAGCUCUCAAAGCCCAAGAAAGUGCAAAAACAAGAGAAAAAGAAAAAAAUGAUGAUCAAAGCUGUGUUGAAAAGCUAAGUUUGGGGUAAAAACCCCAAAAGCUCUCAAAGCCCAAGAAAGUGCAAAAACAAGAGAAAAAGAAAAAAA